AGAGUUUGAUCCUGGCUCAGAGCGAACGCUGGCGGCAGGCCUAACACAUGCAAGUCGAACGAACCCUUCGGGGUGAGUGGCGGACGGGUGAGUAACACGUGGGAACGUACCCUUUGGUUCGGAACAACACAGGGAAACUUGUGCUAAUACCGGAUGUGCCCUUCGGGGGAAAGAUUUAUCGCCAUUGGAGCGGCCCGCGUUGGAUUAGCUAGUUGGUGGGGUAAAGGCCCACCAAGGCUCCGAUCCAUAGCUGGUCUGAGAGGAUGAUCAGCCACACUGGGACUGAGACACGGCCCAGACUCCUACGGGAGGCAGCAGUGGGGAAUCUUGCGCAAUGGGCGAAAGCCUGACGCAGCCAUGCCGCGUGAAUGAUGAAGGUCUUAGGAUUGUAAAAUUCUUUCAGCAGGGACGAUAAUGACGGUACCUGCAGAAGAAGCCCCGGCUAACUUCGUGCCAGCAGCCGCGGUAAUACGAAGGGGGCUAGCGUUGCUCGGAUUUACUGGGCGUAAAGGGCGCGUAGGCGGAUCAGCAAGUUAGGGGUGAAAGCCCGGGGCUCAACCUCGGAACUGCCCUUAAAACUGUUGAUCUUGAGUAUGAGAGAGGUGUGUGGAACUCCGAGUGUAGAGGUGAAAUUCGUAGAUAUUCGGAAGAACACCAGUGGCGAAGGCGACACACUGGCUCAUUACUGACGCUGAGGCGCGAAAGCGUGGGGAGCAAACAGGAUUAGAUACCCUAGUAGUCC
RNAcentral lists this ribosomal RNA (742 nucleotides) under uncultured bacterium. RNAcentral describes it as "bacterial SSU rRNA". It matches the Rfam family "Bacterial small subunit ribosomal RNA", at positions 8 to 796 of the family's 1533-position model. The record is from RNAcentral.